Long non-coding RNA from Sycon ciliatum, 1660 nucleotides. RefSeq lists it as uncharacterized. The record is from RefSeq and is a predicted model, not a curated record. The transcript has 5 exons. NCBI's taxonomy places the organism in Eukaryota, Metazoa, Porifera, Calcarea, Leucosolenida, Sycettidae.
CCAAAGGCAACGGCAUUUAGCGGGGUCUUGCUGCUUCCUUCUUUUGUAUGAUCUUCCUUUCAGAUGUUGAUCCCAAAUGUGAAAUCGAAGUUUUCGGCCAGUUGUGUAGAGCUGAUCACAAACGCUACCUGCACCGUUGGGCACACGCCACUUGCACACCUGGAUUGUUGAAGCUGGUUGGGGUACCAAGCGAUCCCGAUUUUGACUAUCGUCGGCCUCUUCCGGCAUCACAGCAUCAUCAGUAGCGUUCGUCGCCAUUACUCCUGCUACGAAACGAACGGUAGUAGAACUCUCUCCAACCUUUGGCACACGAGGAAACGGUACCCUUGCAGGGCACAGGUCUUGGUCUGCUCACAAGGUAUCCCAUGGGUCUGCCCAGUAACAGGUUGGAUCCAGUUUGGACAAACGUGCAUCGGUGAGGCUGAACCUGGGUCAAUCUUCACCUAUGAAGCUGGUCGUUCAAAAUGUGCAGAGAUCGCUAAUGCACCUGGAGCCAAGCCCCUCGUGAUCACUUCAGGAUGGUUGGCACUGAUGGCCUUCACGCUUGCUGUCCGGGAGGAGUCGAUAUGGACAAGUUUGCAAACUGGUGAAGAUGGACUGCUCAAGGGUGCCGGCGGGCAGUCCGUGAAUGCGCUGACGAACUCCGCACUCUACAAAAAUAACAACCUCUCUGGCGCAGGCUGUGAUUACAUCUCUGAGUUCACAGGUCCAACACUGCAUCCCGUUGUCAGGAGAGGUUCCUGUGACACCAAGCGACCCGCCUUGUGCAUCGUACAACCCUAAAUGAUCCAGUAACAUGACUGGCGGUAGGAGGUUUUGAUUGGUCUGGGCCUAUCCUCGCCUUUCAUACAGUUUGUGUAUGAUAUGGAGGGUAGUCACAUGACUUUCAUACAGUGUGUGUAUGAUAUGGAGGGUAUACACAUGACCUCCUCAGCAGUAAUCACAUGUUGGAAGGCAAAACGUUGGUCUGGUCAUGGCCUGACCAAGCGGAUCGGUUCCACUGAGCCUGCAUAACAGCUACCUGUCCCAAAGUUGAAUAAUCUCUAAAGAUAUGAUGACUGUACGAAUGAUGCAUGCAUGGACAUGCUGAUUGGCCGUUGCCCGGACAAUGAUCUUGUGACAUGCAUGACGUCUCUUUGUCUGCUACUCGACUGUGCUGUAUAUGUACAUAACACGUUACGUGUAGCUUGGGGGCCUUUGAAAUGGUUCCUGUCUCAGCGCCCUUGGCUCUAUGUACAAUGUACCCGCUGCCAUCAGGCCCGUUUGAGUAAUAAUUAUAACAAUGGUGUGUGAACAAAAUCGGCAAAUGUAUCUUGUUCCCAGGCAAACGGUGAACCAGUUGGCCUACUCUCUGCAUUGCGCUUACUAAAUUUACUACAGAAUAUCCAUCCCUGCCUGUAUUUAUACCCAACAUGCUCAUACACAUACACAUACACGUACAUGCAUUCAUGGAUAGUUUCCCCAGCAUGCAGGGGAUUCCCCAGCAUGCAGGGGAUGCAGUAAUGCACCAUGGCUACUCACUAGUUAGUGCCUCUGUCUACUCUGUAUGAGAUUACGCUGCUAGACCACUGUGUAUUACAAUAUCUUCCAGCUUGCAUUUGUUACAAAGUAAUUCUUUGUCAACAUCUUUCAUUUUCUUUUCAAGUCAUUUGAUGUCGAA